CUAGCUUUAUGAUUUCGUCGAGCAUCAACGCCUUGCCAAUCAAAAUAAGAAGUACACAUGUCAUUUUUUCUGCCAAAAUUGAUGGGAGUUGGCAACUUGAGAUGAGUGAAAAAUAAGGGAGUUUAUCACAUAGUAGUACGCAAGUGUGACCCAUAUUAGCAUGUGUAGGUCCUGUGAAAGUGAGUACGUACAAAAGGGGAAACAAUUUAGGAAACCCGUGGCAUCUUAACUGAGAAGACGAAUCAGGAAAAUCAUUUA
RNAcentral lists this long non-coding RNA (258 nucleotides) under Sorghum bicolor (sorghum). RNAcentral describes it as "long non-coding RNA (SBIC_LNC016616)". Lineage: Eukaryota; Viridiplantae; Streptophyta; Magnoliopsida; Poales; Poaceae. The record is from RNAcentral.